CCCGGCUGUCCCAGGGCUUGACGCGUGACUCCCUGAGUCCCUGCAGCGCUGCUCUGCGGCGGUCACGGUCACGCCGCGAUGCCCAUUGUCGUUCCCGCCCUCACGCUCGUGGGGCGCGCAGUAGCCCAAAGUAGAUCGCGCAGAAGCCUCGGUGCUUCCAGGAGAACGCGGGCUGCAGGGCCAAGACACGAGCUCUGUUCUAAGAGCCGGGCUGCCCUCGCCUCCGGCCCACGAGGUCCUGUGGCUGACCAGCAGCCGCGGCGGCCGAGAGCUCACCGAAGCCUCACAGUGAAGUCGCCGGUGCCGGGACAGUGUCCUUUUCUGGAAGAGCAGACCGAGACACAGACAGCGUUGAAGGUGUGUCAAGGGCACACACCUCGCAAGAGACAGAGGAGAUGCCUUGGCAUGCAGCCACUCUUGUUCCUGCCAGACUGUGGGAGGACGAGACACACGUCAGGUCAGACCUGGGACCCAGUCCACGCUGUCAUCUGCUAGCUUGG
This 500-nucleotide long non-coding RNA is filed under the name Mustela putorius furo (domestic ferret). RNAcentral describes it as "lncRNA (ENSMPUG00000029458.1)". Lineage: Eukaryota; Metazoa; Chordata; Mammalia; Carnivora; Mustelidae. The record is from RNAcentral.